UCACGUCUUACGACGGCAGUUUCACUAGAGUUCCCAGCGUUACCUGAUGGCAACUAGUGAUGGGGGUUGCGCUCGUUGCGGGACUUAACCCAACACCUCACGGCACGAGCUGACGACAGCCAUGCACCACCUGUGCAGAAGUCCCUUGCGGGAGGCUCUGGCUUUCACCAAAGUUUCCUCUACAUGUCAAACCCAGGUAAGGUUCUUCGCGUUGCCUCGAAUUAAACCACACGCUCCGCUGCUUGUGCGGGCCCCCGCCUAUUCCUUUGAGUUUUAACCUUGCGGCCGUAGUCCCCAGGCGGUGAACUUAAUGCGUUAGCUGCGGCACUGAUCGGGUCAAUCCGACCAACACCUAGUUCACAACGUUUAGGGCGUGGACUAC
This 382-nucleotide unclassified non-coding RNA is filed under the name uncultured Chloroflexota bacterium. Its description in RNAcentral is "uncultured Chloroflexi bacterium contains 16S-23S intergenic spacer region". The record is from RNAcentral. Lineage: Bacteria; Bacillati; Chloroflexota.